AUGGCACUGCUUCAAUAAGGAAGUUGAAUAUCCUUGUGUGUGGUCUGUGAUAAACAUUUGUGUUCUAAAUUCAGGCCCAGCUGUAAUUUUGGGUUGCUGUCUUAAAGCAGGCCAAUCUUGAAUGUACUGCAUUUGUCUAGAUGCUAUAUCCUUUCAAAUGAAGAUAAUAGAAUAAAAGUGUCUCUCCGGCAGUCCAGGAUAAAUCCCAAGAGCAAUAGUAAAGUAGAAGAUCCUGAAAUCACAACACUUGAUGAUGUGCAGAAAGGUCAGCAUGUCAGAGGCUAUGUCAAAUCCGUCACAUCAUCAGGCAUUUUUUUGGGGUAUGUUUUGCUUGCUGACCAUAAAAGUUAAUUCCAUUUUGUUUUAUUAAUGUCUUCAUGGUGAUUUUAGGUGUCAUACU
Pogona vitticeps (central bearded dragon) is the source of this 400-nucleotide non-coding RNA. The record is from RefSeq and is a predicted model, not a curated record. Lineage: Eukaryota; Metazoa; Chordata; Lepidosauria; Squamata; Agamidae.